UGUGGUCAAUCAUAUCUGUCCUUAUCCUAAAGACCGGAGACUUGUAUUGGAUGAUUGAGUCUUGUGUGCAGGCGGUAAAACAAUGGUGCUGAGCCAUUGUGUAUAUACGUGUCGUUUCAGGUUGCUACAAUAGAAAGAACGGAACUGAUGGCCGAAGCUAAAGCUCGAUUCUUGGUGGUGUUCAUGCUCUUGGUUUCCCUCCAUGCCCACGUCUCCAUGAGUACAGAGGCCAGACCGCUUACCCCCGAUAAGGAACAGAGGUAUGUGGAAGUGUUGCAGUCGCUGGGGAUCAGAUGCCGCUGCUGCGAUGGCGUGGGAGGUGAAUGCCGGAGCACAUGGGCCUCCCAUUGUGCCAAGCUGGAGUGCCAUCCUUCCAAGUUCUUAUGAAGCUGUCCUGGAUGGAAGUUUGAUUACAACAUCAUGUAAACACACAAAAAGAAACGCAUCAUGUUGAUACUUGUCUUCCAAUAAUUGGGAAUAUGGGUAUGCUGGUACUCUUCCAUCA
Molecule: long non-coding RNA, 505 nt
Organism: Musa acuminata AAA Group (dessert banana)
Lineage: Eukaryota; Viridiplantae; Streptophyta; Magnoliopsida; Zingiberales; Musaceae
Exons: 2
Source: RefSeq, a predicted model, not a curated record